Molecule: ribosomal RNA, 465 nt
Filed under: Vreelandella stevensii
Lineage: Bacteria; Pseudomonadati; Pseudomonadota; Gammaproteobacteria; Oceanospirillales; Halomonadaceae
Description: partial 16S ribosomal RNA
Rfam family: Bacterial small subunit ribosomal RNA
Source: RNAcentral
CCUACGGGGGGCAGCAGUGGGGAAUAUUGGACAAUGGGGGGAACCCUGAUCCAGCCAUGCCGCGUGUGUGAAGAAGGCCCUCGGGUUGUAAAGCACUUUCAGUGAGGAAGAACGCCUGGUGGUUAAUACCCAUCAGGAAAGAUAUCACUCACAGAAGAAGCACCGGCUAACUCCGUGCCAGCAGCCGCGGUAAUACGGAGGGUGCGAGCGUUAAUCGGAAUUACUGGGCGUAAAGCGCGCGUAGGUGGCUUGAUAAGCCGGUUGUGAAAGCCCCGGGCUCAACCUGGGAACGGCAUCCGGAACUGUCAAGCUAGAGUGCAGGAGAGGAAGGUAGAAUUCCCGGUGUAGCGGUGAAAUGCGUAGAGAUCGGGAGGAAUACCAGUGGCGAAGGCGGCCUUCUGGACUGACACUGACACUGAGGUGCGAAAGCGUGGGUAGCAAACAGGAUUAGAUACCCCUGUAGUC